Ornithorhynchus anatinus (platypus) is the source of this 138-nucleotide small nucleolar RNA. The record is from RefSeq and is a predicted model, not a curated record. Lineage: Eukaryota; Metazoa; Chordata; Mammalia; Monotremata; Ornithorhynchidae.
UCCCUCUCAGGGUCUCACCUGGAGAGUUUCCAGAUCUCUACCAGUCUCGACUACAGGAGGGAGAGUCAAGCAGAUGCAUACUCAUUCCAUUUCUAGCUUGGUCAGUGGCUAAGGAAUGGAAGGCCAUCUGCUACAAGU